Molecule: ribosomal RNA, 459 nt
Filed under: Salmonella enterica subsp. enterica
Lineage: Bacteria; Pseudomonadati; Pseudomonadota; Gammaproteobacteria; Enterobacterales; Enterobacteriaceae
Description: bacterial SSU rRNA
Rfam family: Bacterial small subunit ribosomal RNA
Source: RNAcentral
AAAUUGAAGAGUUUGAUCAUGGCUCAGAUUGAACGCUGGCGGCAGGCCUAACACAUGCAAGUCGAACGGUAGCACAGAGAGCUUGCUCUCGGGUGACGAGUGGCGGACGGGUGAGUAAUGUCUGGGAAACUGCCUGAUGGAGGGGGAUAACUACUGGAAACGGUGGCUAAUACCGCAUAACGUCGCAAGACCAAAGAGGGGGACCUUCGGGCCUCUUGCCAUCAGAUGUGCCCAGAUGGGAUUAGCUUGUUGGUGAGGUAACGGCUUACCAAGGCGACGAUCCCUAGCUGGUCUGAGAGGAUGACCAGCCACACUGGAACUGAGACACGGUCCAGACUCCUACGGGAGGCAGCAGUGGGGAAUAUUGCACAAUGGGCGCAAGCCUGAUGCAGCCAUGCCGCGUGUAUGAAGAAGGCCUUCGGGUUGUAAAGUACUUUCAGCGGGGAGGAAGGUGUUGUG